Molecule: long non-coding RNA, 1249 nt
Filed under: Homo sapiens (human)
Lineage: Eukaryota; Metazoa; Chordata; Mammalia; Primates; Hominidae
Description: non-protein coding lnc-SYK-6:1
Source: RNAcentral
GACUGAGCACUGCGGGUUGCGGCUACCCGGGCGUGGCCCGGACCUCGGCCUCCCCUUCCCCGCACACUCCCGAGAGGAGCCCUCUACCUUGGGGUGGGCAGGAGGGAAGGCGGGGGGUGGCGGCUGGCAAGCUGCCAACACUCGGGGCGCGCUGCGGCGGGGAAGGGGUUGGCGCGGCCGGGCAGCUGCGCAGGGCUGCGCGGCGGAGGCAGCGAUUAAAAUGUCCCGGCGCCUCUCCCGAGAGCCGCGACGGCCCGGAGCCGGGAGGGAAAGCUCCACGCACAAACACCGCCCCCUGCACAAUUAGGGCGAAGAUGACGGCUGCAAAGUUGUUGCGUAACACGACUGGGAAACGAGGCUCGCUGAGGUCCAUCUACCCACCCCCGCCACGCGGGUGCGGCGUUCCUCGGAGGAUGUGAAGGUCCGCGCUCGGGUGCCCCCGCUGGGACGCCCACUGUCGUUUGGUGCUGGGGCUUGAGACGACCGCGCGGGAUCUCUUCCUGUGAUUUUGAGCUGAUAGCUGCUUAGUGUUAUUUCUGCGUCUAACUGGAUACGGUAGUCUUCUCUCCCAAAUUCCCGGGCUACGGAAGAGACGUAAAAAAAUGGAAAAAAGAGCACCUAGCCGCGACUUCUUAAGUCGUCGCGCUAGACUGUCAAGGCACGUGGCACACUCCCUGCGUUUACCGAUACACGGAUAGUGGUCAGUGCUGGCCUUGGCGAAGGGAGCCAUGUUCCCGACAGUGACUCACAGGCUUGCCCAAAUACGGAGUGUGGCAGGUGGGCAGGACCUCCACCAGCCAGCUCCCUCCUGGUCUCCUUGAACUACGUGGGGGCUGGGCCGAGUGCCUCCACGACUUUCCACUUCUUUUUGCUCCUUUCGUUUUUAAAAAGCAAAAACCAAAGUAAAGAGAAGAGCAGAGUGAACACCCAGCUGCAGAAUGUCUUGAGCUGGAACAUCCCCAAGAGGCCAUAUAUAUAUCCCAGGGAUUUUACAGUGGACCUCACUAGGCCGGAGUAACUGUAAAGUCAGAUGGAUAAUGAGAAUUCAGGACGUUAGCCACACGUGGACUGUGGCAAAAAGAAAGUGACCCACUGAAGAAGACUGUUUUUCAGCUCUCUCAUCAAUUGCUGUUUCCAGGAGCCCACAGCUCCAAUUACUCAAAAGAACGUUGACUUUUUUUUUUUUGGUAAAAUAUCCUGAUUUUCAGGUUAGGCAAGCAAUUCAUUAAAAAAUAAAAGACUGCACAGC